RNAcentral lists this ribosomal RNA (439 nucleotides) under uncultured bacterium. RNAcentral describes it as "partial 16S ribosomal RNA". It matches the Rfam family "Bacterial small subunit ribosomal RNA", at positions 339 to 795 of the family's 1533-position model. The record is from RNAcentral.
CUAUGGGGUGCUCCAGUGAGGAAUAUUGCACAAUGGGGGGAACCCUGAUGCAGCAACGCCGCGUGGAGGAUGACGCAUUUCGGUGUGUAAACUCCUUUUAUAUGUCAAGAAAAUGACGGUAGCAUAUGAAUAAGCACCGGCUAACUCCGUGCCAGCAGCCGCGGUAAUACGGAGGGUGCAAGCGUUACUCGGAAUCACUGGGCGGAAAGGACGCGUAGGCGGGUUGGAAAGUCAGGUGUGAAAUCCUACAGCUUAACUGUAGAACUGCACUUGAAACUUCUAAUCUAGAGUAUGGGAGGGGGAGAUGGAAUUAGUGGUGUAGGGGUAAAAUCCGUAGAUAUCACUAGGAAUACCUAAAGCGAAGGCGAUCUCCUGGAACAUUACUGACGCUAAGGCGUGAAAGCGUGGGGAGCAAACAGGAUUAGAUACCCCUGUAGUC